UACGUAGGGUGCAAGCGUUGUCCGGAAUUAUUGGGCGUAAAGAGCUCGUAGGCGGUUCAUUGCGUCAAUCGUGAAAUCCUGUGGCUCAACUACAGGCUUGCGGUUGAUACGGGUGGGCUGGAGUUCGGUAGGGGAGACUGGAAUUCCUGGUGUAGCGGUGAAAUGCGCAGAUAUCAGGAGGAACACCGGUGGCGAAGGCGGGUCUCUGGGCCGAUACUGACGCUGAGGAGCGAAAGCGUGGGGAGCGAACAGG
RNAcentral lists this ribosomal RNA (253 nucleotides) under uncultured bacterium. Its description in RNAcentral is "partial 16S ribosomal RNA". It matches the Rfam family "Bacterial small subunit ribosomal RNA", at positions 524 to 776 of the family's 1533-position model. The record is from RNAcentral.